UACGUAGGGUGCGAGCGUUAAUCGGAAUUACUGGGCGUAAAGCGUGCGCAGGCGGUUUACUAAGACAGGUGUGAAAUCCCCGGGCUUAACCUGGGAAUGGCGCUUGUGACUGGUAGGCUAGAGUACGUCAGAGGGGGGUGGAAUUCCACGUGUAGCAGUGAAAUGCGUAGAGAUGUGGAGGAACACCGAUGGCGAAGGCAGCCCCCUGGGAUGAUACUGACGCUCAGGCACGAAAGCGUGGGGAGCAAACAGG
Molecule: ribosomal RNA, 253 nt
Filed under: uncultured bacterium
Lineage: Bacteria
Description: partial 16S ribosomal RNA
Rfam family: Bacterial small subunit ribosomal RNA
Source: RNAcentral